AUCAAAGUAGGUCCAAUCGUCAUAGUUCUUGUGUUUGUUGCUACUAAAAAAUUACCUGAAUAUAUAUAUUCGCAUUCUGACUUUUUUAAAUGCCCAUUUAAUGAGGUGUGUGAAUUUUUCUGAAUAAGACGAUGAGGCAAAGUUGUAUAUAGGGUAGAAAUAUCAAAAGCACCAAUUAUAAUCAUGCAAUUUAUCAAGUACCUCGAACCAAUUUU
Molecule: long non-coding RNA, 215 nt
Filed under: Mytilus galloprovincialis (Mediterranean mussel)
Lineage: Eukaryota; Metazoa; Mollusca; Bivalvia; Mytilida; Mytilidae
Source: RNAcentral